GUUUUGAGGUGAGGGACUGCAAUGCGCGCAUUUCCGGACCCCAGGCUGUUCCCGCGGCGACUGAUACCUCAGACACGCGUGGGAGGGGCGGUGCCCUGUCUACGGGGCUGUGCUGAGUCUCUGCCUCCUCGGACCCCACCGUCCCUUGGAAGCUCGCGCAGGGCACCUGCCACAGUGACCACCUGGACGCAGGUUUUCCUAGUGUCUUUGCAAAAGCUCAGGAUCGGACUUUGUCAGGAAGGUGGGUCCCUCCUCUCAGCACAUCAAGC
RNAcentral lists this long non-coding RNA (269 nucleotides) under Rhinopithecus bieti (black snub-nosed monkey). Its description in RNAcentral is "lncRNA (ENSRBIG00000046423.1)". Lineage: Eukaryota; Metazoa; Chordata; Mammalia; Primates; Cercopithecidae. The record is from RNAcentral.